GAGAGGUUGGAGCAGGAGACUGUUACAUACACAGAGAGGUUGGAGCAGGAGACUGUUAUAUACACAGAGAGGUUGGAGCAGGAGACUGUUACAUACACAGAGAGGUUGGAGCAGGAGACUGUUAUAUAUACAGAGAGGUUGGAGCAGG
This is a long non-coding RNA of Oncorhynchus keta (chum salmon), 148 nucleotides long. RefSeq lists it as uncharacterized. NCBI's taxonomy places the organism in Eukaryota, Metazoa, Chordata, Actinopteri, Salmoniformes, Salmonidae. The transcript is spliced from 3 exons. The record is from RefSeq and is a predicted model, not a curated record.